Molecule: ribosomal RNA, 450 nt
Filed under: uncultured bacterium
Lineage: Bacteria
Description: bacterial SSU rRNA
Rfam family: Bacterial small subunit ribosomal RNA
Source: RNAcentral
UUCCAGACUCCUACGGGAGGCAGCAGUGGGGAAUAUUGCACAAUGGGGGGAACCCUGAUGCAGCAAUGCCGCGUGAAGGAUGAAGGUUUUCGGAUUGUAAACUUCUUUUGUACGGGACGAAGAAAGUGACGGUACCGUAAGAAUAAGCCACGGCUAACUACGUGCCAGCAGCCGCGGUAAUACGUAGGGAGCAAGCGUUGUCCGGAAUUACUGGGCGUAAAGGGCGCGUAGGUGGGCGCUUAAGUCAGGUGUGAAAACGCCGGGCUCAACCUGGAGACUGCACUUGAAACUGGGUGUCUUGAGGGCAGGAGAGGAAAGUGGAAUUCCUAGUGUAGCGGUGAAAUGCGUAGAUAUUAGGAGGAACACCAGUGGCGAAGGCGACUUUCUGGACUGUACCUGACGCUGAGGCGCGAAAGCGUGGGUAGCGAACGGGAUUAGAUACCCUGGUAA